Small nuclear RNA from Heterocephalus glaber (naked mole-rat), 105 nucleotides. NCBI's taxonomy places the organism in Eukaryota, Metazoa, Chordata, Mammalia, Rodentia, Bathyergidae. The record is from Ensembl.
GCUCACUUCAAGAGAACAUAUACUAAAAGUGAAACAAUACAGAUAAUAUUAGCAUGGCUCAUGAACAAGGAUAAUAUGUAAAUUCAUGAAAUGUCUCAUAUUUAA